RNAcentral lists this ribosomal RNA (253 nucleotides) under uncultured bacterium. Its description in RNAcentral is "partial 16S ribosomal RNA". It matches the Rfam family "Bacterial small subunit ribosomal RNA", at positions 524 to 776 of the family's 1533-position model. The record is from RNAcentral.
UACGGGGGGGGCAAGCGUUGUUCGGAAUUACUGGGCGUAAAGGGUUCGUAGGUGGCCAACUAAGCCAGACGUGAAAUCCCUCAGCUUAACUGGGGAACUGCGUCUGGGACUGGAUGGCUUGAAUCCGGGAGAGGGAUGCAGAAUUCCAGGUGUAGCGGUGAAAUGCGUAGAUAUCUGGAGGAAUACCGGUGGCGAAGGCGGCAUCCUGGACCGGCAUUGACGCUGAGGAGCGAAAGCCAGGGGAGCAAACGGG